RNAcentral lists this ribosomal RNA (778 nucleotides) under uncultured bacterium. RNAcentral's name for it is "bacterial SSU rRNA". It matches the Rfam family "Bacterial small subunit ribosomal RNA", at positions 8 to 796 of the family's 1533-position model. The record is from RNAcentral.
AGAGUUUGAUCCUGGCUCAGGACGAACGCUGGCGGCGUGCUUAACACAUGCAAGUCGAACGGUGACGCUGGAGCUUGCUCCAGCUGAUCAGUGGCGAACGGGUGAGUAACACGUGAGCAACCUGCCCUUGACUCUGGGAUAACCCCGGGAAACCGGAGCUAAUACCGGAUACGAACCGCACAGGCAUCUGAGCGGUUGGAAAGAUUUAUCGGUCAAGGAUGGGCUCGCGGCCUAUCAGCUUGUUGGUGGGGUAACGGCCCACCAAGGCGACGACGGGUAGCCGGCCUGAGAGGGCGACCGGCCACACUGGGACUGAGACACGGCCCAGACUCCUACGGGAGGCAGCAGUGGGGAAUAUUGCACAAUGGGCGAAAGCCUGAUGCAGCGACGCCGCGUGAGGGACGAAGGCCUUCGGGUUGUAAACCUCUUUCAGCAGGGAAGAAGCGAAAGUGACGGUACCUGCAGAAGAAGCACCGGCUAACUACGUGCCAGCAGCCGCGGUAAUACGUAGGGUGCAAGCGUUGUCCGGAAUUAUUGGGCGUAAAGAGCUCGUAGGCGGUCUGUCGCGUCUGCUGUGAAAACCUAGGGCUUAACCCUGGGCCUGCAGUGGGUACGGGGCAGACUAGAGUGCGGUAGGGGAGACUGGAAUUCCUGGUGUAGCGGUGAAAUGCGCAGAUAUCAGGAGGAACACCGGUGGCGAAGGCGGGUCUCUGGGCCGUAACUGACGCUGAGGAGCGAAAGCAUGGGUAGCGAACAGGAUUAGAUACCCUAGUAGUCC